RNAcentral lists this long non-coding RNA (1043 nucleotides) under Olea europaea (common olive). RNAcentral describes it as "long non-coding RNA (OEUR_LNC010180)". Lineage: Eukaryota; Viridiplantae; Streptophyta; Magnoliopsida; Lamiales; Oleaceae. The record is from RNAcentral.
AUAGAGAAUGGGUAUCAGUUGGACAGACUUGUGUGUUUUCACAUCAUUUAUGAGACCAUUUCAUGGGAUUGAGAUGAUAGAAUCAGGGUUCCCUUCCACCAUCAAUAAAGAUUUGAAACAGAGUUUAUCCUAAAAGCAAGGAAGGAAGAAAACGUAGGUCAAUAGAUAGCCUUUUCCUUUCUCAGUGCGAAAAUUGCCUAGCACACUAUGAGCAUUGCUGAGACACCUUCAAUAGACAGACUGUGCACAAACUGAACGAAAACAUACGAUAAAUUGAGGAAUAUUUUCAUUUUUAAUUUAAAGUAUACAUGACAAUUAUAACUUAAAAAGUAGAAUGCCUUUUCUACAAAAUUUAGUGAAGAACUUUUUGUAUUACAUCAUUUUAUAAAAAGGCAUUCUAAAAAGUUCCUCAUUAUUUAUUAUGAGUCUUAAUAUCAAGAGCAGUCUCAUUUUUAAGAUACUUUUUCUAUGCUUUAUAUGGUGAGAAUGGUUGUGUUAUCUAAGAAUUUUUCCUAAAUUGUGUUUUGCAUGAACUGGCAACAAAUGAUGCAAGCAGUUUCAACAACAGCGUGACAGAGAAGCACGUUUGUGAAGAUGCCCCUUUUUGACUUUUACAUCGCCGUUUCUUCGCUUUAUUUCUGUAAUACUAUUUUUUAGUCUUUAUAGUAAGUUUUCGAAUUGGUGGCAUUUACCAAUACCUGAAUCAUUGCCAAUAUUCAAUUCCAUUAGCAAGGGUGCUGGAACUCUGAAAAUGAAAGUAAAUAAGCUGCUUCUAUCUAUUGAAAUCCUGUUAGGAAUGUGGUGAUUUAUGAAGAAUAUGUACGACCUGUACAUAUUGUGUAAUGGCCACAGUAAGGUAUUUGUAUUAAAGGAUUUAUACCAAAAUAUUUCAAAAUAGUAAUGGGGAUAAGUUUGGACAUUAGCUUGGUCUAUGGCACAUGUGAUUGAGACUAUACGGGCAUAGUUUGGGAAUUUCAACUCCAUAUUUGAUUUAUCACAAUUACUUUUAUAAAAGAAGAAUACAUAGGAUACAACAUAUUUAU